GUGUAACAGGAUGAUGGAGGGAAUAGAAGAGAGAGGAGUGUAACAGGAUGAUGGAGGGACUAGAAGAGUGUAACAGGAUGAUGGAGGGAAGAGAAGAGUGUAAGAGGAGUGUAACAGGAUGAUGGAGGGAAUAGAAGAGUGUGAAGAGGAGUGUAACAGGAUGAUGGAGGGAAUAGAAGAGUGUAAGAGGAGUGUAACAGGAUGAUGGAGGGAAUAGAAGAGUGUGAGAGAGGUGUAACAGGAUGAUGGAGGGAAUAGAAGAGUGUAAGAGGAGUGUAACAGGAUGAUGGAGGGAAUAGAAGAGAGAGGAGUGUAACAGGAUGAUGGAGGGAAUAGAAGAGUGUAAGAGGAGUGUAACAGGAUGAUGGAGGGAAUAGAAGAGAGAGGAGUGUAACAGGAUGAUGGAGGGAAUAGAAGAGUGUAAGAGGAGUGUAACAGGAUGAUGGAGGGAAUAGAAGAGAGAGGAGUGUAACAGGAUGAUGGAGGGAAUAGAAGAGAGAGGAGUGUAACAGGAUGAUGGAGGGAAUAGAAGAGAGAGGAGUGUAACAGGAUGAUGGAGGGAAUAGAAGAGAGAGGAGUGUAACAGGAUGAUGGAGGGAAUAGAAGAGAGAGGAGUGUAACAGGAUGAUGGAGGGAAUAGAAGAGUGUAAGAGGAGUGUAACAGGAUGAUGGAGGA
Long non-coding RNA from Oncorhynchus keta (chum salmon), 676 nucleotides. RefSeq lists it as uncharacterized. The transcript is spliced from 3 exons. Lineage: Eukaryota; Metazoa; Chordata; Actinopteri; Salmoniformes; Salmonidae. The record is from RefSeq and is a predicted model, not a curated record.